ACAACAUUCGGACCGUCGGUCUGUCGAGCAAAUAUCACCCGCUCGAUGGAAGAUCGUCUCUCCGUCGU
Molecule: microRNA precursor, 68 nt
Filed under: Bombyx mori (domestic silkworm)
Lineage: Eukaryota; Metazoa; Arthropoda; Insecta; Lepidoptera; Bombycidae
Description: mir-2774 microRNA precursor family
Rfam family: mir-2774 microRNA precursor family
Source: Rfam by way of RNAcentral